UACGAAGGGUGCAAGCGUUGUUCGGAAUUACUGGGCGUAAAGAGCGCGUAGGCGGUCUAUUAAGUCAGGCGUGAAAGUCCCGGGCUCAACCUGGGAAUUGCGUUUGAUACUGGUAGGCUUGAGCUUCAGAGAGGUGAGUGGAAUUCCUAGUGUAGCAGUGAAAUGCGUAGAUAUUAGGAGGAACAUCAGUGGCGAAGGCGGCUCACUGGCUGAAUACUGACGCUAAGGCGCGAAAGCGUGGGGAGCAAACAGG
Molecule: ribosomal RNA, 253 nt
Filed under: uncultured bacterium
Lineage: Bacteria
Description: partial 16S ribosomal RNA
Rfam family: Bacterial small subunit ribosomal RNA
Source: RNAcentral